CUGAGGCCCGGCUUCCGCAGCCGGCUGCUGCCUGUGAUUGGCGGAGGCGCGGAGAAUGCUGGACGCCGUUGGUCCCGCCCCGCUCGGGUCAAAAUGGUGCGGGCGAGGCCCUUCUCCGGACGGCACCGGCCUUUCGGUCUGGGGUCCCCAGAAAGAGACCGCUAACUUGUUUGAGAUCGCGGAUUUGGGCGAUGGCCUCGAGCAGGCUUGGAAAUGACAAAGGCAGAAACAGAAGCCUCCAGAAGACAAGAUGAAGAUAAUGACAUGCUUCAUUUUAAGAGACAUGAGCUCAUUUCCUGUUAGAGGGAUUCCUACCAAAUGAGAUUUGAAGCUAAAUAAAUUCAUCUUACAGACCGUUA
Non-coding RNA from Myodes glareolus (Bank vole), 359 nucleotides. NCBI's taxonomy places the organism in Eukaryota, Metazoa, Chordata, Mammalia, Rodentia, Cricetidae. The record is from RefSeq and is a predicted model, not a curated record.